Grammomys surdaster is the source of this 117-nucleotide small nucleolar RNA. The record is from RefSeq and is a predicted model, not a curated record. NCBI's taxonomy places the organism in Eukaryota, Metazoa, Chordata, Mammalia, Rodentia, Muridae.
UUUCAUUUAGUGUUCAGGGUAGCUUUCAUGUUCUGUUAAUUAAACUUUGGGACAUUGAAAGUGGCAAAGAAAUUAUUGAGUAGAGAGUAUUACUCUGUUCAUACAUUUCCUAUUCUA